CCCCCCCCCCCCGUUUAAUGGGCGUAUUCAUGCUCGGGUAUCACAUUUUAGGUCAAAGUUUAGCUCCUCAGACCUUUAAUUUCACCUUUCAGUCUGGUGUGAGAUUCAAGAGUUUUCUUGCAAAGUUCUAUCUACGAUCAACAGACUGGUAGUUCUACAGAGGUAAUAAACCGUACUUCAUUUAAUAGUCUUCAAAAGGACAAGUAGGGUAUUUUCUGUAAGUGCAGUAGCCGUGCAGUCAAAUGCAUUGUACCAGUAAGAUUUGGGCUUUUACAGGAAAGAAUGCAUUGUGCCGUUUGUUUUUUUAUCAAGAAACUCUUUUCUUCUUUUGGUUGAGUAUAUCAGACUAGGAUAAUCAUCUUACGUUUGAUGUUCUUAAUCUGCAAGCAGUGAAACCAUAUAAUAUAAUAUUCUUUGUAUGUGGACUUUAAAUGCAAAGUUGUAGCCAGUGAUUGCAUAUAUAACCUCUUAUAGAUUACAACAAUGGACUUAUCAAAGACGUAUGCUGAAGCAAGAAGCCACAGGAGCUAGGCAAUGGAAUAUUUUGUAUUAAUUUGGAACUGGACUUGUUCAUCACGCUGACUAUAUCAGUUUAAAUAUCGAGGUUGAAAGAAACUGAGACAUCUUUAUGGAUAGUUUGAUUGUGAGUUUUGCUGAUCCUGACGAACCUAUAGACUUAUAUUGACAAAAUGGGAGCAGCAUACAGUGUGAGAAAGGAGAGCUUUGACGACGGGCACAUGACCCGUAUGGAAGCGGUAAGUGAAAUGCUAUCAAGAUAUCAAUGUGUUAAUUUGUAUGGUGGUCUUUGUAAUAUAACAUUGUAACAGGAUGAAAACUCAUACAUUUACAAUCAAUAACAUUAUUGCUUAUAUAGCAAACUGCAGAAAUCAAACUGCUGAAAACUUAAGGUUAAAAAAAGAAAGAAAAUGCAAAACAGAGAAUAUAAACAGGUGAAAGGAUUUGUUAUUUUAUUUUAAGAAGUACAAAUGCCCUUUGAGUAAAACCCCUUAAUUAUUUUCUGAUAUAUUCAAAGAAAUGAAAUGGAAAGAAAUACAUAACAGGACAAUUUAUAUGAUUUAAAAACUAAAAACAUACUGUUCAACUUUACCUUACACAUGACAUUUAAUAAGAUAGAUGGAAAGCGAAAUUCAAUUUAAAGAAAUUCAUGGCAUUUCUAAAAGCUAUUUGCGGAAUUUGAGACAUGACUGAUGUUUUCACUUCCCCAUCAAUAGUCACAAGCUAUCUGCUUGGAUACAUUUGCAGAUAUAAAAUGACAGGUGUUAUUAUGAAGCUCUCAAAUCAUUUCAUGAAAUCCUUUGUAACCUCUUGUCUGAUUUUUAGGAUGUACAUUUACAAAUUUUUAAAAGCAAAUACGACC
Strongylocentrotus purpuratus (purple sea urchin) is the source of this 1378-nucleotide long non-coding RNA. RefSeq lists it as uncharacterized. Lineage: Eukaryota; Metazoa; Echinodermata; Echinoidea; Camarodonta; Strongylocentrotidae. The transcript has 2 exons. The record is from RefSeq and is a predicted model, not a curated record.